Molecule: non-coding RNA, 48 nt
Organism: Schistosoma rodhaini
Lineage: Eukaryota; Metazoa; Platyhelminthes; Trematoda; Strigeidida; Schistosomatidae
Source: Rfam
AUCCAGCUGACGAGUCCCAAAUAGGACGAAGUGAGAGUCAAACUGGAU